This 254-nucleotide ribosomal RNA is filed under the name uncultured bacterium. RNAcentral's name for it is "partial 16S ribosomal RNA". It matches the Rfam family "Bacterial small subunit ribosomal RNA", at positions 524 to 776 of the family's 1533-position model. The record is from RNAcentral.
GACGUAGGGCGCGAGCGUUUGUCCGGAAUUAUUGGGCGUAAAGGGCUCGUAGGCGGUUUGUCGCGUCGGGAGUGAAAACCAUGGGCUUAACUCAUGGCUUGCUUCCGAUACGGGCAGACUAGAGGUAUGCAGGGGAGAACGGAAUUCCUGGUGUAGCGGUGAAAUGCGCAGAUAUCAGGAGGAACACCGGUGGCGAAGGCGGUUCUCUGGGCAUUACCUGACGCUGAGGAGCGAAAGUGUGGGGAGCGAACAGG